Molecule: ribosomal RNA, 402 nt
Filed under: Aspronema dorsivittatum (Paraguay mabuya)
Lineage: Eukaryota; Metazoa; Chordata; Lepidosauria; Squamata; Scincidae
Description: partial 12S ribosomal RNA
Rfam family: Bacterial small subunit ribosomal RNA
Source: RNAcentral
UGCUUAGCCCUAAACAUAGACAAUACUAACACAAUAUUGUCCGCCAGAGAACUACAAGUGAAAAACUGGAAACUCUAAGGACUUGGCGGUACCCCACAUCAGCCUAGAGGAGCCUGUCCUAUAAUCGAUAAUCCACGCUGUACCUUACCAUUUCUAGAAACUCAGCCUAUAUACCGCCGUCGAAAGCUUACCCUAUGAAAGAAACAAAGUAAGCAAAAUAGUUAAUAACUAAAACGUCAGGUCAAGGUGUAGCACAUGAAAUGGAAGAGAUGGGCUACAUUUUCUACUUCAGAAAAUACGAACAGCACAAUGAAAUCUAUGCUCAAAGGCGGAUUUAGUAGUAAGGUAAAAAAGACAUUUUACCUUAAACCCGCUCUGGGGCGCGCACACACCGCCCGUCAC